This 957-nucleotide unclassified non-coding RNA is filed under the name Hevea brasiliensis (rubber tree). The record is from RNAcentral. Lineage: Eukaryota; Viridiplantae; Streptophyta; Magnoliopsida; Malpighiales; Euphorbiaceae.
AAUAAGUAAAUAAAUAAAUAAAUCGCCGAGAAGGCGGAAAGACGGUGGAAAGAACUCAGUGGUAAGUCUUGGAGAGCAAGUGAUUCCGUUCUCAAUCUAGUCGGAACCCUAGUUUUCUCCGUCAAGAUUACCAUGGAAAUCGAUUCUGCCGAGUAUCAGUUAAGGUGUCAGCUUACAGGUCACGAAGACGAUGUCCGGGGUAUCUGUAUCUGUGACAAGGUUGGUUUUGCAACCUCAUCUAGAGACAGAACCAUUCGGUUUUGGUCUCCAGAUGAAUCUAAUCACCGCAGGUUUACUACGUCAAAGAUACUGCUAGGGCAUACAAGUUUUGUUGGCCCACUAGCUUGGGUUGCUCCAAGUGAGGAGUUACCUGAGGGAGGACUUGUAUCUGGUGGCAUGGACACUCUUAUCUUGGUGUGGAAUUUGUCUACUGGAGAUAAAGUUCAGACACUGAAGGGUCAUAAGUUGCAAGUUACAGGUAUUGCUUUGGAUGGCUCAGACGUUGUCUCAACAUCUGUUGAUUGUACAUUAAGACGAUGGAGGAAGGGCCAAGAAGUUGAAGUUUUGGAAGCUCAUAAAGCGGCAAUCCAAGCAAUUAUCAGAUUGCCCUCAGGCGAGCUUGUUACAGGCUCAAGUGACACAACACUGAAAGUUUGGAAUGGAGCAGCAUGUGCACACACUUUUUCUGGGCAUACAGACACUGUUCGAGGCCUUGCCGUGGUGCCUGGUCUAGGAGUUCUUUCUGCAUCCCAUGAUGGUACCAUAAGGCUGUGGGAACUUAGUGGUCAAGUUCUACUGGAGAUGGUUGGUCACACUUCUAUUGUCUAUUCUGUAGAUGCUCAUGCCUCUGGGCUUAUUGUCAGUGGCAGUGAGGAUCGUUUUGCAAAGAUCUGGAAAGAUGGUGUCUGUGUCCAAAGCCUAGAGCAUCCCGGCUGUGUUUGGGAUGCCAAAUUCUUA